CUACCACAUCCAAGGAAGGCAGCAGGCGCGCAAAUUACCCACUCCCGGAACGGGGAGGUAGUGACGAAAAAUAACAAUACGGGACUCUUAUGAGACCCCGUAAUUGGAAUGAGUACACUCUAAAUCCUUUCACGAGGACCCAUUGGAGGGCAAGUCUGGUGCCAGCAGCUGCGGUAAUUCCAGCUCCAAUAGCGUAUAUUAAAGUUGUUGCGGUUAAAAAGCUCGUAGUUGGAUCUCAGUUCCAGACGGUCGGUCCGCCGUCCCGGUGGUCACUGGCCGGUCUGAACAGCCCGCCGGUUUCCUUCGAUGAUCUUCACCGGUUGUCUUGGGUGACCGGCAAGUUUACUUUGAAGAAAUUAGAGUGCUCAAAGCAGGCGCGACGCCUGAAUAAUGGUGCAUGGAAUAAUGAAAUAGGACCUCGGUUCUAUUUUGUUGGUUUUCGGAACACGAGGUAAUGAUUAAGAGGGACAGACGGGGGCAUUCGUAUUGCGACGCUAGAGGUGAAAUUCUUGGACCGUCGCAAGACGAACUACUGCGAAAGCAUUUGCCAAGAAUGUUUCCAUUAAUCAAGAACGAAAGUUAGAGGUUCGAAGGCGAUCAGAUACCGCCCUAGUUCUAACCAUAAACGAUGCCAGCCAGCGAUCCGGCUGUGUUCCUCAAAUGACACGCCGGGCAGCUUCCGGGAAACCAAAGCUUUUGGGUUCCGGGGGAAGUAUGGUU
Molecule: ribosomal RNA, 720 nt
Filed under: Risdonius parvus
Lineage: Eukaryota; Metazoa; Arthropoda; Arachnida; Araneae; Anapidae
Description: SSU rRNA
Rfam family: Eukaryotic small subunit ribosomal RNA
Source: RNAcentral